CCUACGGUGAGCAGCAGUGAGGAAUAUUGGUCAAUGGACGCAAGUCUGAACCAGCCAUGCCGCGUGCAGGAAGACGGCUCUAUGAGUUGUAAACUGCUUUUGUACGAGGGUAAUCGCAGAUACGCGUAUCUGUCUGACAGUAUCGUACGAAUAAGGAUCGGCUAACUCCGUGCCAGCAGCCGCGGUAAUACGGAGGAUUCAAGCGUUAUCCGGAUUUAUUGGGUUUAAAGGGUGCGUAGGCGGUCGUAUAAGUUAGAGGUGAAAUCCCGAGGCUCAACUUCGGAAUUGCCUCUGAUACUGUUCGGCUAGAGAGUAGUUGCGGUAGGCGGAAUGUAUGGUGUAGCGGUGAAAUGCUUAGAGAUCAUACAGAACACCGAUUGCGAAGGCAGCUUACCAAGCUACUUCUGACGUUGAGGCACGAAAGCGUGGGGAGCAAACAGGAUUAGAUACCCGGGUAGUC
Molecule: ribosomal RNA, 460 nt
Filed under: uncultured bacterium
Lineage: Bacteria
Description: partial 16S ribosomal RNA
Rfam family: Bacterial small subunit ribosomal RNA
Source: RNAcentral